This 107-nucleotide small nuclear RNA is filed under the name Myotis davidii. Lineage: Eukaryota; Metazoa; Chordata; Mammalia; Chiroptera; Vespertilionidae. The record is from RNAcentral.
GUGCUCGCUUUGGCAGCACACAUACUGAAAUUGGAACGAUACAGAGAAGAUUAGCGUGGCCCCUGUGCAAGGAUGACACGCACAUUCAUGAAGCCUUCCAUAUUAAA